Molecule: ribosomal RNA, 806 nt
Filed under: Vreelandella gomseomensis
Lineage: Bacteria; Pseudomonadati; Pseudomonadota; Gammaproteobacteria; Oceanospirillales; Halomonadaceae
Description: bacterial SSU rRNA
Rfam family: Bacterial small subunit ribosomal RNA
Source: RNAcentral
GCUAGAGUGCAGGAGAGGAAGGUAGAAUUCCCGGUGUAGCGGUGAAAUGCGUAGAGAUCGGGAGGAAUACCAGUGGCGAAGGCGGCCUUCUGGACUGACACUGACACUGAGGUGCGAAAGCGUGGGUAGCAAACAGGAUUAGAUACCCUGGUAGUCCACGCCGUAAACGAUGUCGACCAGCCGUUGGGUGCCUAGCGCACUUUGUGGCGAAGUUAACGCGAUAAGUCGACCGCCUGGGGAGUACGGCCGCAAGGUUAAAACUCAAAUGAAUUGACGGGGGCCCGCACAAGCGGUGGAGCAUGUGGUUUAAUUCGAUGCAACGCGAAGAACCUUACCUACCCUUGACAUCCUGCGAACCCGGAAGAGAUUCCGGGGUGCCUUCGGGAGCGCAGAGACAGGUGCUGCAUGGCUGUCGUCAGCUCGUGUUGUGAAAUGUUGGGUUAAGUCCCGUAACGAGCGCAACCCUUGUCCUUAUUUGCCAGCACGUAAUGGUGGGAACUCUAAGGAGACUGCCGGUGACAAACCGGAGGAAGGUGGGGACGACGUCAAGUCAUCAUGGCCCUUACGGGUAGGGCUACACACGUGCUACAAUGGCCGGUACAAAGGGCUGCGAGCUCGCGAGAGUCAGCGAAUCCCUUAAAGCCGGUCUCAGUCCGGAUCGGAGUCUGCAACUCGACUCCGUGAAGUCGGAAUCGCUAGUAAUCGUGCAUCAGAAUGGCACGGUGAAUACGUUCCCGGGCCUUGUACACACCGCCCGUCACACCAUGGGAGUGGACUGCACCAGAAGUGGUUAGCCUAACUUGGAG